This 254-nucleotide ribosomal RNA is filed under the name uncultured bacterium. RNAcentral's name for it is "partial 16S ribosomal RNA". It matches the Rfam family "Bacterial small subunit ribosomal RNA", at positions 524 to 776 of the family's 1533-position model. The record is from RNAcentral.
UACGUAGGGGGCGAGCGUUGUCCGGAAUUAUUGGGCGUAAGGAGCUCGUAGGCGGCUUGGCAAGUCGGAUGUGAAAACUCCAGGCUCAACCUGGAGCCGCCAUUCGAUACUGCUAUGGCUAGAGUCCGGUAGGGGAGUGUGGAAUUCCUGGUGUAGCGGUGAAAUGCGCAGAUAUCUGGAGGAACACCGGUGGCGAAGGCGGCAUCCUGGACCGACACUGACGCUGAGGCGCGAAAGCUAGGGGAGCAAACGGG